UACGUAGGGUCCGAGCGUUGUCCGGAAUUAUUGGGCGUAAAGGGCUCGUAGGCGGUUUGUUGCGUCGGGAGUGAAAACUUACAGCUUAACUGUGAGCGUGCUUCCGAUACGGGCAGACUUGAGGUAUUCAGGGGAGAACGGAAUUCCUGGUGUAGCGGUGAAAUGCGCAGAUAUCAGGAGGAACACCAGCGGCGAAGGCGGCGCUCUGGGCUGGAACUGACGCUGAGGAGCGAAAGCGUGGGUAGCAAACAGG
This 253-nucleotide ribosomal RNA is filed under the name uncultured bacterium. RNAcentral's name for it is "partial 16S ribosomal RNA". It matches the Rfam family "Bacterial small subunit ribosomal RNA", at positions 524 to 776 of the family's 1533-position model. The record is from RNAcentral.